Molecule: ribosomal RNA, 314 nt
Filed under: Triticum aestivum (bread wheat)
Lineage: Eukaryota; Viridiplantae; Streptophyta; Magnoliopsida; Poales; Poaceae
Description: rRNA LSU_rRNA_eukarya
Rfam family: Bacterial large subunit ribosomal RNA
Source: RNAcentral
UCUAAGGAACUCGGCAAAAUAGCCCCGUAACUUCGGGAGAAGGGUUGCCCCCUCACAAAAGGGGGCCGCAGUGACCAGGCCCGGGCGACUGUUUACCAAAAACACAGGUCUCCGCAAAGUCGUAAGACCAUGUAUGGGGGCUAACGCCUGCCCAGUGCCGGAAGGUCAAGGAAGUUGGUGAACUGAUGACAGGGAAGCCUGCGACCGAAGCCCCGGUGAACGGCGGCCGUAACUAUAACGGUCCUAAGGUAGUGAAAUUCCUUGUAGGGUAAGUUCCGACCCGCACGAAAGGCGUGUUGGAAAUAUGCCCUAGA